RNAcentral lists this transfer RNA (66 nucleotides) under Sinomicrurus macclellandi (MacClellands coral snake). Its description in RNAcentral is "tRNA-Thr". The record is from RNAcentral. Lineage: Eukaryota; Metazoa; Chordata; Lepidosauria; Squamata; Elapidae.
GCUCUGGUAGCUUACACCCUUAAAGCCUUGUUCUUGUAAACCAAAGACGGACUACUCCCCUGAGCA